This 494-nucleotide ribosomal RNA is filed under the name uncultured bacterium. Its description in RNAcentral is "bacterial SSU rRNA". It matches the Rfam family "Bacterial small subunit ribosomal RNA", at positions 13 to 518 of the family's 1533-position model. The record is from RNAcentral.
UUGAUCUGGUCAGGACGAACGCUGGCGGCGUGCCUAACACAUGCAAGUCGAACGAGUAUAAAGGAAGCUUGCGAAUUUAUACUUAGUGGCGGACGGGUGAGUAACGCGUGGAUAACCUGCCUGAUAGCCUGGGAUAACAGCUGGAAACGGCUGCUAAUACCGGAUACGCUCAAUAGAUCGCAUGGUCAGUUGAGGAAAGCAUUUGUGCUAUCAGAUGGAUCCGCGUCCCAUUAGCUAGUUGGUGGUGUAGAGGACCACCAAGGCGACGAUGGGUAGCCGGCCUGAGAGGGCGAACGGCCACACUGGGACUGAGACACGGCCCAGACUCCUACGGGAGGCAGCAGUGGGGAAUCUUCCGCAAUGGGCGAAAGCCCUGACGGAGCAACGCCGCGUGAGGGAAGAAGGCCUUCGGGUUGUAAACCUCUGUUUUCAGGGAAGAAGAAAGUGACGGUACCUGAAGAGUAAGCUCCGGCUAACUACGUGCCAGCCGCUGC